GAGCGGCGGACGGGUGAGUAACGCGUGGGUAACCUGCCCUGUACACACGGAUAACAUACCGAAAGGUAUGCUAAUACGAGAUAAUAUGCUUUUAUCGCAUGGUAGAAGUAUCAAAGCUUUUGCGGUACAGGAUGGACCCGCGUCUGAUUAGCUAGUUGGUAAGGUAACGGCCCACCAGGCCGACGAUCAGUAGCCGACCUGAGAGGGUGACCGGCCACAUUGGGACUGAGACACGGCCCAAACUCCUACGGGAGGCAGCAGUGGGGAAUAUUGCACAAUGGGGGAAACCCUGAUGCAGCGACGCCGCGUGAGCGAAGAAGUAUUUCGGUAUGUAAAGCUCUAUCAGCCAGGGAAGAAAAUGACGGUACCUGACUAAGAAGCACCGGCUAAAUACGUGCCAGCAGCCGCGGUAAUACGUAUGGUGCAAGCGUUAUCCGGAUUUACUGGGUGUAAAGGGAGCGUAGACGGAUGGGCAAGUCUGAUGUGAAAACCCGGGGCUCAACCCCGGGACUGCAUUGGAAACUGUUCAUCUAGAGUGCUGGAGAGGUAAGUGGAAUUCCUAGUGUAGCGGUGAAAUGCGUAGAUAUUAGGAGGAACACCAGUGGCGAAGGCGGCCUACCUGGGCUGUAACUGACGUUGAGGCUCGAA
This 648-nucleotide ribosomal RNA is filed under the name uncultured Clostridium sp. RNAcentral's name for it is "bacterial SSU rRNA". It matches the Rfam family "Bacterial small subunit ribosomal RNA", at positions 93 to 757 of the family's 1533-position model. The record is from RNAcentral. Lineage: Bacteria; Bacillati; Bacillota; Clostridia; Eubacteriales; Clostridiaceae.